This 528-nucleotide ribosomal RNA is filed under the name Diaporthe foeniculina. RNAcentral's name for it is "eukaryotic LSU rRNA". The stretch from base 180 to 333 matches the Rfam family "5.8S ribosomal RNA". The record is from RNAcentral. Lineage: Eukaryota; Fungi; Ascomycota; Sordariomycetes; Diaporthales; Diaporthaceae.
UUUGCUGGAACGCGCCCCUGGCGCACCCAGAAACCCUUUGUGAACUUAUACCUUACUGUUGCCUCGGCGCAGGCCGUCCCCUGAUGGGGUCCCUCUGGAGACAGAGGAGCAGCCGGCCGGUGGCCAAAUUAACUCUGUUUUUACACUGAAACUCUGAGUACAAAACAUAAAUGAAUCAAAACUUUCAACAACGGAUCUCUUGGUUCUGGCAUCGAUGAAGAACGCAGCGAAAUGCGAUAAGUAAUGUGAAUUGCAGAAUUCAGUGAAUCAUCGAAUCUUUGAACGCACAUUGCGCCCUCUGGUAUUCCGGAGGGCAUGCCUGUUCGAGCGUCAUUUCAACCCUCAAGCCUGGCUUGGUGUUGGGGCACUGCUCUCUGACGAGAGCAGGCCCUGAAAUAUAGUGGCGAGCUCGCCAGGACUCCGAGCGUAGUAGUUAAACCCUCGCUUUGGAAGGCCUGGCGGUGCCCUGCCGUUAAACCCCAACUUCUGAAAAUUUGACCUCGGAUCAGGUAGGAAUACCCGCUGAAC